This 253-nucleotide ribosomal RNA is filed under the name uncultured bacterium. RNAcentral's name for it is "partial 16S ribosomal RNA". It matches the Rfam family "Bacterial small subunit ribosomal RNA", at positions 524 to 776 of the family's 1533-position model. The record is from RNAcentral.
UACGGAAGGUCCAGGCGUUAUCCGGAUUUAUUGGGUUUAAAGGGAGCGUAGGCCGCCCCUUAAGCGUGUUGUGAAAUGCGGGUGCUCAACAUCCGACUUGCAGCGCGAACUGGGGGGCUUGAGUGCGCCGAAAGUAGGCGGAAUUCGUGGUGUAGCGGUGAAAUGCUUAGAUAUCACGAAGAACUCCGAUUGCGAAGGCAGCUUACUGUAGCGCAACUGACGCUGAUGCUCGAAAGCGUGGGUAUCGAACAGG